This 325-nucleotide ribosomal RNA is filed under the name Staphylococcus aureus. RNAcentral describes it as "bacterial SSU rRNA". It matches the Rfam family "Bacterial small subunit ribosomal RNA", at positions 220 to 537 of the family's 1533-position model. The record is from RNAcentral. Lineage: Bacteria; Bacillati; Bacillota; Bacilli; Caryophanales; Staphylococcaceae.
UAUAGAUGGAUCCGCGCUGCAUUAGCUAGUUGGUAAGGUAACGGCUUACCAAGGCAACGAUGCAUAGCCGACCUGAGAGGGUGAUCGGCCACACUGGAACUGAGACACGGUCCAGACUCCUACGGGAGGCAGCAGUAGGGAAUCUUCCGCAAUGGGCGAAAGCCUGACGGAGCAACGCCGCGUGAGUGAUGAAGGUCUUCGGAUCGUAAAACUCUGUUAUUAGGGAAGAACAUAUGUGUAAGUAACUGUGCACAUCUUGACGGUACCUAAUCAGAAAGCCACGGCUAACUACGUGCCAGCAGCCGCGGUAAUACGUAGGUGGCAA